UACAGAGGUCUCAAGCGUUGUUCGGAUUCAUUGGGCGUAAAGGGUGCGUAGGCGGCGCGGUAAGUCGGGUGUGAAAUCUCGGAGCUUAACUCCGAAACUGCAUUCGAUACUGCCGUGCUUGAGGACUGGAGAGGAGACUGGAAUUUACGGUGUAGCGGUGAAAUGCGCAGAUAUCAGGAGGAACACCAAUGGCGAAGGCAGCACUCUGGGACGUGACUGACGCUGAGACGCGAAAGCGUGGGGAGCAAACAGG
This 253-nucleotide ribosomal RNA is filed under the name uncultured bacterium. RNAcentral describes it as "partial 16S ribosomal RNA". It matches the Rfam family "Bacterial small subunit ribosomal RNA", at positions 524 to 776 of the family's 1533-position model. The record is from RNAcentral.